This 402-nucleotide ribosomal RNA is filed under the name uncultured prokaryote. Its description in RNAcentral is "bacterial SSU rRNA". It matches the Rfam family "Bacterial small subunit ribosomal RNA", at positions 355 to 774 of the family's 1533-position model. The record is from RNAcentral.
UGGGGAAUAUUGCACAAUGGACGAAAGUCUGAUGCAGCAACGCCGCGUGGAGGAUGAAGGCCUUCGGGUUGUAAACUCCUUUUGCAGGGGAAGAUAAUGACGGUACCCUGCGAAUAAGCCACGGCUAACUCUGUGCCAGCAGCCGCGGUAAGACAGAGGUGGCGAGCGUUGUUCGGAAUUACUGGGCUUAAAGGGCGCGUAGGCGGUGGCGCAAGUCUGGGGUGGAAGUUCACAGCUCAACUGUGGAAUUGCCUUGGAAACUGCGUUACUUGAGUCGGACAGGGGAAGGCGGAAUUCCUGGUGUAGCGGUGAAAUGCGUAGAUAUCAGGAGGAAGGCCUGUGGUGAAGACGGCCUUCUGGGUCUUGACUGACGCUGAGGCGCGAAAGCGUGGGGAGCAAACA